GAAAAGCACUCUGAAGAGAGAGUCAAAAGACCGUGAAACCGCUCAGAGUAUAAGCCAAUGGAGCUUGGAAGGCUUCCGCAGAAAAGAGUUCAUCCUUUGAGGUGUUCUUAGACCUAUGAGUAUGGUUCGUCAGGCGUAGCAUUGAGUUUGCCAGGUUUAGCUGUCGUGCGGGGGAUUGGCUUCGGGGGGGGUAGGCUUCGGCCUGCAGUGCUUCCGACCAUCCUUUUUGAAUGGACGUUCAGAGCUCUUGUGUCUUAUGCGGUAAUGCCCACCACAGCACGUUGUGAGGUCACCCACAGGCUCAAACUGCCGAUCGCGCAUCCAGGACGAUGGCAACGAUGCGUUGUCGAGUGAGCAAUCACUCACACGCGUGUCUAGUCCUGGGUCGGGCGGCGACCGAGAUAAACCUGGUAUGAUCCUCUUGCGACGAGCUGCUUUCUGGCCAGACCGACGCCCGGACUCCUCCACUGUGCCGGAGGGGUCAACCCCAGGCGGUGUGAACCCAGCUGCAUUAUGCAAGGUCUCUCAGCCGGGAAUCGGUCUGAGUGGUGUUAAGUCCAGCACCAUCGGUCACGUCUCGAAACACGGGCCAAGGAGUAUAGCAUGUGUGCAAGUCUAAGGGUCUCACAAAACCCGAAGGCGAAGUGAAAGCAAGGCUGUGGCGGGGGAGCUACGGCAAACCUGCCGGUUGGAUAACGCUUGCGUUGUCCAGCUUUAAGCAGAGCUGAUCCUGUUUUCUCGGUUAAUUCUUGGUGCAGGCGCAAGCUCCGGGCUCACGUAUAACACUGGUCACGCCUUGCGUGUGGCUGUGUUGUGAGCACCGUGGAGCAUGCAUGCUAU
This 840-nucleotide ribosomal RNA is filed under the name Niphargus cvijici. RNAcentral describes it as "partial 28S ribosomal RNA". It matches the Rfam family "Eukaryotic large subunit ribosomal RNA", at positions 366 to 812 of the family's 3401-position model. Lineage: Eukaryota; Metazoa; Arthropoda; Malacostraca; Amphipoda; Niphargidae. The record is from RNAcentral.